AUUCACGUAAGCUAACACCCGCCAUUUCCACUAUGGCCGACAGCAAGAGUCCCGGAUGCCUUUUCGGCCGUUCGUGCGAUUUGAUAUAUAAAGUACAUAUGUAAGAAGAACGUUUCUAGUGGUAGAAUAUUCUAGUUUUAAAAAGUGAAGUAGCAUCUCUUAUCCGCCAUCUUCUUUUCUUGACCAAUGAUAAUUCAUCGAUUCCGUGUGUUCUAAACGUUGUAAAAAUGAAUUUACUUCUAAUCCGCCAUUUUUACUAUUUUUUCGAAAUGUUAGUCAGUGAUAAAGUAUAUUUACAUGAUACAAUUUGUAAAUUUUUAUUAUGGAAUAUCAACAAUGUAAAACGUUUAAUUGAAUCAUAAUGUUACUCGUACUUUAUAAAAUGAAAUUUCAUAUUUUGUAUCUUAUAUAUAAUUUAAAUAAAUAAUUAGUAAUUUAUGUAUCAGUGAUAAGCUUCAUGAAUAAAAUUAUAAUUAUAUAAUUAUAAUAAGGUAAUAUAUAAUAUAUUUAUACUUAAUUAAUAUUUUAUUAAAUUAAAAAAUUGUUAACAUUUUAAAAAUAUUAAUAUUAUAAUUAUAUUAAAAC
Molecule: long non-coding RNA, 585 nt
Organism: Vespula vulgaris
Lineage: Eukaryota; Metazoa; Arthropoda; Insecta; Hymenoptera; Vespidae
Exons: 2
Source: RefSeq, a predicted model, not a curated record